RNAcentral lists this ribosomal RNA (253 nucleotides) under uncultured bacterium. RNAcentral describes it as "partial 16S ribosomal RNA". It matches the Rfam family "Bacterial small subunit ribosomal RNA", at positions 524 to 776 of the family's 1533-position model. The record is from RNAcentral.
GACAGAGGGUGCAAACGUUGUUCGGAAUUACUGGGCAUAAAGCGCACGUAGGUGGUCCGCUAAGUCGCGUGUGAAAUCCCCCGGCUCAACCGGGGAAAUGCGCGUGAUACUGGCGGGCUUGAGAUCGGGAGGGGUGAAUGGAACUCCAGGUGGAGCGGUGGAAUGCGUAGAUAUCUGGAGGAACACCGGUGGCGAAAGCGGUUCACUGGCCCGACACUGACACUGAGGUGCGAAAGCUAGGGUAGCAAACGGG